AUUGAACGCUGGCGGCAUGCCUUACACAUGCAAGUCGAACGGCAGCACGGGUGCUUGCACCUGGUGGCGAGUGGCGAACGGGUGAGUAAUACAUCGGAACAUGUCCUGUAGUGGGGGAUAGCCCGGCGAAAGCCGGAUUAAUACCGCAUACGAUCCACGGAUGAAAGCGGGGGACCUUCGGGCCUCGCGCUAUAGGGUUGGCCGAUGGCUGAUUAGCUAGUUGGUGGGGUAAAGGCCUACCAAGGCGACGAUCAGUAGCUGGUCUGAGAGGACGACCAGCCACACUGGGACUGAGACACGGCCCAGACUCCUACGGGAGGCAGCAGUGGGGAAUUUUGGACAAUGGGCGAAAGCCUGAUCCAGCAAUGCCGCGUGUGUGAAGAAGGCCUUCGGGUUGUAAAGCACUUUUGUCCGGAAAGAAAUCCUUGGCUCCAAUACAGUCGGGGGAUGACGGUACCGGAAGAAUAAGCACCGGCUAACUACGUG
This 486-nucleotide ribosomal RNA is filed under the name uncultured bacterium. RNAcentral's name for it is "partial 16S ribosomal RNA". It matches the Rfam family "Bacterial small subunit ribosomal RNA", at positions 30 to 507 of the family's 1533-position model. The record is from RNAcentral.